Long non-coding RNA from Perca fluviatilis (European perch), 1259 nucleotides. RefSeq lists it as uncharacterized. Lineage: Eukaryota; Metazoa; Chordata; Actinopteri; Perciformes; Percidae. The transcript is spliced from 4 exons. The record is from RefSeq and is a predicted model, not a curated record.
CACUUGCGCAACUCGGUAACACCUGCUUAGGUACCCAUGUGGAGAAAGGGGCAGGCGGGGCUGCAGAUAUUUCAUGCAUUUAGCCACCUUUAGCCACCUUUCCGUUGAAUCCCGGUCUGUCCCAACCUGAAAGAACUGCCCAUGGGAGGGGCCAGAGAUGAAACAUCCACUGCAGAAUAAUACCCCCACACAUGGCUUGGGUGCUGUGGGAGAGAUAGCUUUCCCAGAGGUCCCGAGCAUGGUACUGAAACCUGCCAGAGGCAAGCAGAGGAAGCAGCAAGUGGCUGUACAGAAGACAGCGACUGACACUGGAAUGUGCUUUUUUGCAGUGUGGAAAUCUCCAAAAUGUGUCAUCUAAGGAGCCAUGCUGGAGCUGUGAUCAUCUGAAAUCCAAGGUGACAGCAACACAACAUCAUAAACAUGAUUAACAGCUGUAACAUCUGAUCACAGGUCACGAGGGCAGCAGGCUAAGCAGACGUCCUUCUCCCCAGCCCCAUCCUCCAGCUCCUCAUGGAGAUAGCAAUGCGUUCCCAGGCCAAAAAGGAUCUAUAACCCCUCCAGCUUGUUCUGGGUCUGCCCCGGGGAUUUUUUUCCCAGUUAGACAUGCCUCAAAUACCUCCAUAGGGAGAUUUCCAGGAGGCAUCUGCCUCAUCUGUCUCUUCUUAGCACAAAAGGAUCAUCGGUUCAAUUCAGAGCUCCCUCUGGAUGUCUGAGGGCCUCACCCUGUCCCUGAGGGUGAGCCCUAGACACCCUGCAAAGGAAACUUAUUUUUGGCUAUUUCAUGUUGGAACAUACAGUAUAUCAACCGCUAAAGCAAGAGUCUCACUUUUAGGCUCAGCUCCGUCUACCAAAAAUUAGUGAGGCUGCAGUUCACAGUCUGAUGAUUCAAGUAGGGCUUAAUCAGUGGCAAAAUGCACACAUCUACAUUUAAUGCAUAGGUUAUCAGAUUUAUUUUGGGACCUCUAGCCAUGGGCAUAGGAAGCAUUGUAAAUGUAGGUGGUACUUUUAUCUGGCUAUACUAUAUUAGAAAAAUAAUGGGUAGCCUACAUUUUGUAAUUUUACCCAGAUGGUUGGACCCAUAUCACAUAUUUGAAGAUAUUAAAAAGCUAAAAGUACAGAAAUUGAUCCGAUGACUAAUCUUUAAUAAUAACCACUUAUUCCACUUAUCAUUUAAACUUGAGGAUCUCUUUAUGCUUGCAUGCAAUUUCUGUUAAAUUAAUUUCUUUGUUAUCAAAUAAAAAAUGUAUGAGUAAAGUAGA